RNAcentral lists this ribosomal RNA (484 nucleotides) under uncultured bacterium. RNAcentral's name for it is "partial 16S ribosomal RNA". It matches the Rfam family "Bacterial small subunit ribosomal RNA", at positions 30 to 507 of the family's 1533-position model. The record is from RNAcentral.
AUUGAACGCCGGCGGCAGGCCUAACAUAUGCAAGUCGAGCGGAUGAAGGGAGCUUGCUCCUGGAUUCAGCGGCGGACGGGUGAGUAAUGCCUAGGAAUCUGCCUGGUAGUGGGGGAUAACGUCCGGAAACGGGCGCUAAUACCGCAUACGUCCUGAGGGAGAAAGUGGGGGAUCUUCGGACCUCACGCUAUCAGAUGAGCCUAGGUCGGAUUAGCUAGUUGGUGGGGUAAAGGCCUACCAAGGCGACGAUCCGUAACUGGUCUGAGAGGAUGAUCAGUCACACUGGAACUGAGACACGGUCCAGAAUCCUACGGGAGGCCGCAGUGGGGAAUAUUGGACAAUGGGCGGAAGCCUGAUCCAGCCAUGCCGCGUGUGUGAAGAAGGUCUUCGGAUUGUAGAGCACUUUAAGUUGGGAGGAAGGGCAGUAAGUUAAUACCUUGCUGUUUUGACGUUACCAACAGAAUAAGCACCGGCUAACUUCGUG